This 62-nucleotide transfer RNA is filed under the name Agriotes hirayamai. RNAcentral describes it as "tRNA-Cys". Lineage: Eukaryota; Metazoa; Arthropoda; Insecta; Coleoptera; Elateridae. The record is from RNAcentral.
GGUCUUGUAGUCAACCAUGAUUUUAAAUUGCAAAUUUAAAGGUGAAUAUAAUUCUAAGGCUU